UACGUAGGGGGCAAGCGUUGUCCGGAAUCAUUGGGCGUAAAGAGCGUGUAGGCGGCUUGGUAAGUCCGCUGUGAAAGUCCAGGGCUCAACCCUGGAAAGCCGGUGGAAACUGUCAAGCUUGAGUCCGGAAGAGGCGAGUGGAAUUCCUGGUGUAGCGGUGAAAUGCGCAGAUAUCAGGAGGAACACCGGUGGCGAAGGCGGGUCUCUGGGCCGAUACUGACGCUGAGGAGUGAAAGCGUGGGGAGCGAACAGG
RNAcentral lists this ribosomal RNA (253 nucleotides) under uncultured bacterium. Its description in RNAcentral is "partial 16S ribosomal RNA". It matches the Rfam family "Bacterial small subunit ribosomal RNA", at positions 524 to 776 of the family's 1533-position model. The record is from RNAcentral.